This 1632-nucleotide long non-coding RNA is filed under the name Ananas comosus (pineapple). RNAcentral describes it as "long non-coding RNA (ACOM_LNC027274)". The record is from RNAcentral. Lineage: Eukaryota; Viridiplantae; Streptophyta; Magnoliopsida; Poales; Bromeliaceae.
GAACGUUGCGGUUUUUUAGGUGAUCCGCGAGUCUGCGACCGCGAGCCACGAACCGUUUUUUCGGCCGAAUUAUUUUCGAAUAAUUAUUUUCACCAAAAAAUAUACGUUUUUUUUUCAAAUAUUUUUUAAAAAUACGAAUACUGCUGUUUUAUUCAUUUUUUAAAAAUUCACGAAUAAUUUGUAAAUUAUUAAUAAAUUAACUAACAUAUAUAUAUAGGUAUAUUGUAUGUUAAAAAAUAAAAUAUAUAUAGGUAUAUUGUAUAAGUAGUAAAAUAAAAAAAGUAAAUAAAGCGACUAAAAUUUUAAAAUACACAUAUACUCUUUAUCUAUAAGUCUUAUUGUUGUCUUGUGGUGUAUCCACAUUGGCGGUUUUUAAUUCAACCCGAUCCAUAUAGGACGUGCAUUGAAAUUUAUUCUAAUAAGUUAAGAAUAAGACUAAAUUAUAUAUUUUUAUUAAUUAAAAAACUUAUCUUUCAGUGAAUAUUUAUUAUGAAUAUUUUAAUCCUAAUCCUUAUCCUAAUAUCUUUGUAAGAUUCAAGAUAUUUAGGAGAUUCCGCUAUUCUAUAAAUACACCCUCUUUUCUCUCUCGUAAAAAGAAUUCUUUUCUCUUCUUUCUCUCUUUUCUCUCCCGUAAAAAGAAUCUUCUCUCUUUUUUCUAGAAUUUUCAUCUAUGUUCCCGGUUGCAUCCGUAAGCAUCUAGACCAAUACGAUCCAAGCAAGAUAGUAAAACAAGCAAUCCGAUCCGAUCAACCGAUUCCGGUUCUGAUCCGAUUUCGGUUCCUGAAUACGUUGGGCCAUCCAGUUUGUAAGUUUCUACCGCCCUAAUAUUUCAAACUGUUUUAAAAUACACAAUACUCUUUAUUUAUAAGUCUUAUUGGAACUGAUCCCUCAACUUCAUUUUUUUUUUUUUUUUACUAUGGAAUACUAUGGGAUAUUUCACCCGGUCCAGAUCUGGAUCCAGAUUUGAAAGCUGUUCGGCACUCUAUCCAUUAGAAAGUUGGGUUAUGUUUGGCCCAAAUCGGUUAUCAGUAUAAAGUAUCGAGAUACAUACUCGAAAUUUUUAUAGGUAUUUUUUUUAUUCGUAUGCUAUUUAUUUUUUAUGUCGAAUCCGAUUUGGAUCUGAGUAGGAUCCGAAUUAGAUAUGAGAUAUUAGAUAUUUUGAACAUUUUUACCAAUGAUCGAAAUUUGUUAGAAUAAUCUUGUACUAAAAGCGCCUGAUUAAUAAAUCAAUAAAGGAGUCUCCAAAUCCUCAUGAACUCUGGUAUUCUUGCAAGUAAUCGUCUCAACUUUUAGCUGCCACAAUCAAUUAAUUAAUGUACUACUUCGUCAAAGGAAUGCUUUGCCCUAUCAUCUGGAAUCACGUAUGUGGAACUAUUUAUUACCUCUGGAAUGGGACUAGCAAAACCUUAUAGAAGCAAACAAUGAACGGCAUCAACAAGAUCCAUAUUAGCAUCUUCUUUACUUCUACUAGAAGAAUGGAAAUAAUAAGCAAUCUUUACUUGUUCUACUAGUAGAAAUGUGUUUGAAAACUGCAUAAAUGUGUUCAGAUUUUAUCGUAUUUUUAAAGACUAUAAACAAACAAAUUAAUUUAAUUUAAUUAAGUACGAAUUCUAAACAAAUUCUAUAAUGCAG